AUCCCCCUUUAAUCCCCCAUCCCCCCAUUCAACCCAACUUCAGCCCCCGCGCUGCGCCCCCCUUCCCUGGCCCGGCUCGAUUGGCCGCUUCCUGAGCUGUCAGACUUGAGUCCGGCGCUCUUAUUGGGCGAUUCUCGGGCCGGGCGGCUGUGCCAAAGGAGGGCGCACCGGGCCGGGGGCGCCCAGGCAGCGACUGCCGCAGGGAGCCGAAGACCAGAGUCCCUGGAGGGCCAGAGGGGCCCAAGAGCCAGACCCGGAAAUGGACGGGAGAGAUGGAGAGACUGAGGAUCUCUGAGGCCCAGGAAGACAGUUACGGGAAAGAUGGAGAUGCAGUUGGUGAGGCCGAUGCAACCAGGGCUGGGCGGACAGGAAUGCUUUGGUGGAUAGUUACAGAGCAAGAACCCCGCAGACAGCAUUACGAACACCUGGCGUUUGUGAAGAGCUCUCUCUGCUCGUUCGCAUUUCACCUGAUGAGCAAACAGUCCACUCAACGCAGGACUGAGGGACAAGCACUAAACUUGGGGUCAGAGUACCUGGAGGUUCUUCACCAGCCCCACCACUUUCCAGCUGCAUGA
This 575-nucleotide long non-coding RNA is filed under the name Bos indicus x Bos taurus (hybrid cattle). RNAcentral's name for it is "lncRNA (ENSBIXG00000022488.1)". The record is from RNAcentral. Lineage: Eukaryota; Metazoa; Chordata; Mammalia; Artiodactyla; Bovidae.